This 253-nucleotide ribosomal RNA is filed under the name uncultured bacterium. RNAcentral's name for it is "partial 16S ribosomal RNA". It matches the Rfam family "Bacterial small subunit ribosomal RNA", at positions 524 to 776 of the family's 1533-position model. The record is from RNAcentral.
UACGUAGGGGGCAAGCGUUGUCCGGAAUCAUUGGGCGUAAAGCGCGUGUAGGCGGUCCGGUAAGUCCGCUGUGAAAGUCCAGGGCUCAACCCUGGGAUGCCGGUGGAUACUGUCGAGCUCGAGUCCGGAAGAGGCGAGUGGAAUUCCUGGUGUAGCGGUGAAAUGCGCAGAUAUCAGGAGGAACACCAAUGGCGAAGGCAGCUCGCUGGGACGUGACUGACGCUGAGACGCGAAAGCGUGGGGAGCAAACAGG